UACGGGGGGGGUAAGCGUUGUUCGGAAUUACUGGGCGUAAAGAGCGUGUAGGCGGCCAGGUAGGUCUGCUGUGAAAACUCGAGGCUCAACCUCGAGACGCCGGCGGAAACCAUCUGGCUAGAGUCCGGAAGAGGAGAGUGGAAUUCCUGGUGUAGCGGUGAAAUGCGCAGAUAUCAGGAAGAACACCCGUGGCGAAGGCGGCUCUCUGGGACGGUACUGACGCUGAGACGCGAAAGCGUGGGGAGCGAACAGG
RNAcentral lists this ribosomal RNA (253 nucleotides) under uncultured bacterium. RNAcentral's name for it is "partial 16S ribosomal RNA". It matches the Rfam family "Bacterial small subunit ribosomal RNA", at positions 524 to 776 of the family's 1533-position model. The record is from RNAcentral.